This 253-nucleotide ribosomal RNA is filed under the name uncultured bacterium. RNAcentral describes it as "partial 16S ribosomal RNA". It matches the Rfam family "Bacterial small subunit ribosomal RNA", at positions 524 to 776 of the family's 1533-position model. The record is from RNAcentral.
UACGUAGGGUGCAAGCGUUAAUCGGAAUUACUGGGCGUAAAGCGUGCGCAGGCGGUUAUGCAAGACAGAUGUGAAAUCCCCGGGCUUAACCUGGGAACUGCAUUUGUGACUGCACAGCUGGAGUGCGGCAGAGGGGGAUGGAAUUCCGCGUGUAGCAGUGAAAUGCGUAGAUAUGCGGAGGAACACCGAUGGCGAAGGCAAUCCCCUGGGCCUGCACUGACGCUCAUGCACGAAAGCGUGGGGAGCAAACAGG